RNAcentral lists this ribosomal RNA (891 nucleotides) under uncultured bacterium. RNAcentral's name for it is "bacterial SSU rRNA". It matches the Rfam family "Bacterial small subunit ribosomal RNA", at positions 1 to 902 of the family's 1533-position model. The record is from RNAcentral.
UUUCGCCCUUAGAGUUUGAUCCUGGCUCAGGACGAACGCUGGCGGCGCGCCUAACACAUGCAAGUCGAACGAGCGAGAGAGAGCUUGCUUUCUCGAGCGAGUGGCGAACGGGUGAGUAACGCGUGAGGAACCUGCCUCAAAGAGGGGGACAACAGUUGGAAACGACUGCUAAUACCGCAUAAGCCCACGACCCGGCAUCGGGUUGAGGGAAAAGGAGCAAUCCGCUUUGAGAUGGCCUCGCGUCCGAUUAGCUAGUUGGUGAGGUAACGGCCCACCAAGGCAACGAUCGGUAGCCGGACUGAGAGGUUGAACGGCCACAUUGGGACUGAGACACGGCCCAGACUCCUACGGGAGGCAGCAGUGGGGAAUAUUGCACAAUGGGGGAAACCCUGAUGCAGCGACGCCGCGUGGAGGAAGAAGGUCUUCGGAUUGUAAACUCCUGUUGUUGAGGAAGAUAAUGACGGUACUCAACAAGGAAGUGACGGCUAACUACGUGCCAGCAGCCGCGGUAAAACGUAGGUCACAAGCGUUGUCCGGAAUUACUGGGUGUAAAGGGAGCGCAGGCGGGAAGACAAGUUGGAAGUGAAAUCCAUGGGCUCAACCCAUGAACUGCUUUCAAAACUGUUUUUCUUGAGUAGUGCAGAGGUAGGCGGAAUUCCCGGUGUAGCGGUGGAAUGCGUAGAUAUCGGGAGGAACACCAGUGGCGAAGGCGGCCUACUGGGCACCAACUGACGCUGAGGCUCGAAAGUGUGGGUAGCAAACAGGAUUAGAUACCCUGGUAGUCCACACCGUAAACGAUGAUUACUAGGUGUUGGAGGAUUGACCCCUUCAGUGCCGCAGUUAACACAAUAAGUAAUCCACCUGGGGAGUACGACCGCAAGGUUGAAACUC